MicroRNA precursor from Oryza sativa Indica Group (long-grained rice), 207 nucleotides. It matches the Rfam family "MIR812 microRNA precursor family". Lineage: Eukaryota; Viridiplantae; Streptophyta; Magnoliopsida; Poales; Poaceae. The record is from Rfam.
AAUAAGUGGAGUUUUACAUUGUUCAUGUUCAUCAUUUGACCGUUCGUCUUAUUUGAAAAUAUUUUAUAAUUAAUAUUUUUACUGUUAUUAGAUGAUAAAACAUGAAUAAUACUUUAUGUGUGACUAUUUUUUUAAAAAAAUUGUUAAAUUUUUCAAAUAAGACGGACGGUCAAACGUUGGACACGGAUAUUCACGACUGCACUUAUU